This 87-nucleotide transfer RNA is filed under the name Bacteroidales bacterium. RNAcentral's name for it is "tRNA-Leu". It matches the Rfam family "tRNA". Rfam says of the family: Transfer RNA (tRNA) molecules are approximately 80 nucleotides in length. Their secondary structure includes four short double-helical elements and three loops (D, anti-codon, and T loops). The record is from RNAcentral. Lineage: Bacteria; Pseudomonadati; Bacteroidota; Bacteroidia; Bacteroidales.
GCCCGAGUGGCGGAAUUGGUAGACGCGUUGGUCUCAAACACCAAUGGGGUCAAACCCGUGCCGGUUCGAGUCCGGCCUCGGGCACCA